RNAcentral lists this ribosomal RNA (497 nucleotides) under uncultured bacterium. RNAcentral describes it as "partial 16S ribosomal RNA". It matches the Rfam family "Bacterial small subunit ribosomal RNA", at positions 28 to 507 of the family's 1533-position model. The record is from RNAcentral.
GAUGAACGCUGACGGCGUGCCUAAUACAUGCAAGUCGAGCGAACGGACGAGAAGCUUGCUUCUCUGAUGUUAGCGGCGGACGGGUGAGUAACACGUGGAUAACCUACCUAUAAGACUGGGAUAACUUCGGGAAACCGGAGCUAAUACCGGAUAAUAUUUUGAACCGCAUGGUUCAAAAGUGAAAGACGGUCUUGCUGUCACUUAUAGAUGGAUCCGCGCUGCAUUAGCUAGUUGGUAAGGUAACGGCUUACCAAGGCAACGAUGCAUAGCCGACCUGAGAGGGUGAUCGGCCACACUGGAACUGAGACACGGUCCAGACUCCUACGGGAGGCAGCAGUAGGGAAUCUUCCGCAAUGGGCGAAAGCCUGACGGAGCAACGCCGCGUGAGUGAUGAGGGUCUUCGGAUCGUAAAACUCUGUUAUUAGGGAAGAACAUAUGUGUAAGUAACUGUGCACAUCUUGACGGUACCUAAUCAGAAAGCCACGGCUAACUACGUG